Molecule: transfer RNA, 72 nt
Filed under: Zancudomyces culisetae
Lineage: Eukaryota; Fungi; Kickxellomycota; Harpellomycetes; Harpellales; Legeriomycetaceae
Rfam family: tRNA
About the family: Transfer RNA (tRNA) molecules are approximately 80 nucleotides in length. Their secondary structure includes four short double-helical elements and three loops (D, anti-codon, and T loops). Further hydrogen bonds mediate the characteristic L-shaped molecular structure. tRNAs have two regions of fundamental functional importance: the anti-codon, which is responsible for specific mRNA codon recognition, and the 3' end, to which the tRNAs corresponding amino acid is attached (by aminoacyl-tRNA synthetases). tRNAs cope with the degeneracy of the genetic code in two manners: having more than one tRNA (with a specific anti-codon) for a particular amino acid; and 'wobble' base-pairing, i.e. permitting non-standard base-pairing at the 3rd anti-codon position.
Source: Rfam by way of RNAcentral
GAGAAUAUAACUUAAUGGUAGAGUAUCAAACUUUUAAUUUGUAUAGUUUGGGUUCAAAUCCCAAUAUUCUCA